CCCUGCCCACCAUGAGACGAGU
RNAcentral lists this unclassified non-coding RNA (22 nucleotides) under Mus musculus (house mouse). RNAcentral describes it as "oocyte_clustered_small_RNA11335". The record is from RNAcentral. Lineage: Eukaryota; Metazoa; Chordata; Mammalia; Rodentia; Muridae.